CCAACAUCAGUCUAAUUACAGUAUUGGGAGAAACUUGCAGAAUUAAUGUCACUUGUGAAUUGUGUUUUAAGGAUUGUAACUUGUUCUCUGGUGUGUGGAGGUCACACUCGCAAGCCUAGCUGACCCAGCAGAGCACCCACUUCCAAUGCUACACCACCUCGGGCUCCUACACCCAGUCACAGGCGCUAUGGGCUUGUACCACCAGCAAGUGUAGACCCGUCCACUCCCCCAUCCAGCAUGGUUUGACGUUCCUGACAGUACGCUACUUUAGCAGCAAACCCCCACGAUUCCCAAGCUAUGUCUGAUGAUUUCCUGCUUCCGAAGAUGCUGCAGCGGAUGUCACCGGAACUCCCGCAGGACGGAGGUACAUUUCCGCCCACCACUCUGGGAACCGCUCAUCAGCCACAAGUCAAACAAACGUCAGACCUACAUCUCUGUCAAGGUCAUCCACACUCUCUGCAGAGGCAAAAAAAAAAGUCCUUGACGCUGGACAAGGCUGGGCGGGCUGCUCACCUGCCUCACUGCCUCCUCACCUUACCACGCUGUCCCUUAAAGAUACUCUCAGUAAACCUCCCGAGAGCCCAGGGUGUAUCUUCAGGGGAAUCCAAGCCAAGACAAGUGCUUUCUUUGCCUGAAUUGUUCUUGGCCGCACUGACCCCCCAAGACGAUCCAAAACACUUGACUUUUGCCAGGUGGAUUUGACUUCCCCAUCGGGUAGCUGGGAGGUGAUUUUUCUUUUUAAAAAAUAUUAUCGAUAAGCCAUACAGUAUAUUCUGACCAUAUAUCCCCUCCCCCACCUCUUCCCAGAUCUUCUUCAGCUCCCCACUCAUCCAACUCAAUGCCCACCCCCCAACCCCCGUCUUCAGAAAACAAGCAUGUAAAACAACAACAACAAUAAUAAUAAUGUUGAAAGGGCGCAAGAAACACAUGGACGCACAAAAACAAAACCCAUGCAACACAAAGUGGGAAACCACAAUAUACAAGCAAAAGACCAGCAAGAUUAACACAAACAAACAAAGCCCUAACAAAGCAACAAGACAAAGAUCUACAAAAUACCACUGAGUUCAUUAUGUGUUGACCUUCUACUACUGGGCAUCGUGCCUCCCCUCAAGCAUAGUCUACGAAACUCCAUUGGAGAAAAAUACUCUUUCUUUAGCAGCGGGAGGUAGCUUUUUGGUUAGAGACGGGAGAUCAUGUCCACCUCUGUCUCUUGACACUGGGACCCCAUCUGGCC
Molecule: small RNA, 1234 nt
Filed under: Rattus norvegicus (Norway rat)
Lineage: Eukaryota; Metazoa; Chordata; Mammalia; Rodentia; Muridae
Description: uncharacterized LOC102553145
Source: RNAcentral